This 520-nucleotide ribosomal RNA is filed under the name uncultured Glomus. Its description in RNAcentral is "SSU rRNA". It matches the Rfam family "Eukaryotic small subunit ribosomal RNA", at positions 569 to 1089 of the family's 1831-position model. The record is from RNAcentral. Lineage: Eukaryota; Fungi; Glomeromycota; Glomeromycetes; Glomerales; Glomeraceae.
AGCAGCCGCGGUAAUUCCAGCUCCAAUAGCGUAUAUUAAAGUUGUUGCAGUUAAAAGCUCGUAGUUGAAUUUCGGGAUCAAUAUGUCGGUCGUGCCUUCGGUACGUACUGGUAUCAUUGGUUUCUCCUUUCUGACGAACCAUGAUGUCAUUAAUUUGGUGUUAUGGGGAGUUAGGACUGUUACUUUGAAAAAAAUUAGAGUGUUUAAAGCAGGCUUUAGCUUGAAUACAUUAGCAUGGAAUAAUGAAAUAGGACGUUUGAUCCUAUUUUGUUGGUUUCUAGGAUCGACGUAAUGAUUAAUAGGGAUAGUUGGGGGCAUUAGUAUUCAAUUGUCAGAGGUGAAAUUCUUGGAUUUAUUGAAGACUAACUACUGCGAAAGCAUUUGCCAAGGAUGUUUUCAUUAAUCAAGAACGAAAGUUAGGGGAUCGAAGACGAUCAGAUACCGUCGUAGUCUUAACCAUAAACUAUGCCGACUAGGGAUCGGAUGAUGUUAAUUUUUUCAAUGACUCAUUCGGCGCCUU